UACGUAGGGUGCGAGCGUUAAUCGGAAUUACUGGGCGUAAAGCGUGCGCAGGCGGUUAUUUAAGCCAGAUGUGAAAGCCCCGGGCUUAACCUGGGAAUGGCAUUUGGGACUGGAUAGCUGGAGUGUGGCAGAGGGAGGUGGAAUUCCAGGUGUAGCAGUGAAAUGCGUAGAGAUCUGGAGGAACACCGAUGGCGAAGGCAGCCUCCUGGGCCAACACUGACGCUCAAGCACGAAAGCGUGGGGAGCAAACAGG
This 253-nucleotide ribosomal RNA is filed under the name uncultured bacterium. Its description in RNAcentral is "partial 16S ribosomal RNA". It matches the Rfam family "Bacterial small subunit ribosomal RNA", at positions 524 to 776 of the family's 1533-position model. The record is from RNAcentral.